CGUGUGUGUGUGUGUGUGUGUGUGUGUGUGUGUGUGUGUCUGCUGGGGGCCUACCCCCAGCCACACCC
RNAcentral lists this microRNA precursor (68 nucleotides) under Myotis lucifugus (little brown bat). RNAcentral describes it as "miRNA (ENSMLUG00000020212.2)". Lineage: Eukaryota; Metazoa; Chordata; Mammalia; Chiroptera; Vespertilionidae. The record is from RNAcentral.